RNAcentral lists this ribosomal RNA (254 nucleotides) under uncultured bacterium. RNAcentral's name for it is "partial 16S ribosomal RNA". It matches the Rfam family "Bacterial small subunit ribosomal RNA", at positions 524 to 776 of the family's 1533-position model. The record is from RNAcentral.
UACGGGGGGGGCAAGCGUUGUUCGGAUUUACUGGGCGUAAAGGGCGGGUAGGCGGCCACUGCAAGUCGGUUGUGAAAUCUCCGGGCUUAACUCGGAAAGGUCAAUCGAUACUGCAGGGCUAGAGUGCAGAAGGGGCAACUGGAAUUCUCGGUGUAGCGGUGAAAUGCGUAGAUAUCGAGAGGAACACCUGCGGCGAAGGCGGGUUGCUGGGCUGACACUGACGCUGAACUGCGAAAGCUAGGGGAGCGAACGGG